ACGUAGGCAGCGAGCGUUGUUCGGAGUUACUGGGCGUAAAGAGUGCGUAGGCGGUGGCCCAAGUCUGGUGUGAAAUCUCCCGGCUCAACCGGGAGGGUGCGCCGGAAACUGGGUUGCUUGAGUACUGGAGAGGCAAGCGGAAUUCCUGGUGUAGCGGUGAAAUGCGUAGAUAUCUGGAGGAACACCGGUGGCGAAGGCGACAUCCUGGACCGGUAUUGACGCUGAGGCGCGAAAGCCAGGGGAGCAAACGGGA
Molecule: ribosomal RNA, 253 nt
Filed under: uncultured prokaryote
Description: partial 16S ribosomal RNA
Rfam family: Bacterial small subunit ribosomal RNA
Source: RNAcentral